GGUUCACUAAGUGGCAGCAGCCGGGGUAAUACGGGGGGUGCAAGCGUUAUUCGGAUUUAGUGGGGUUAAAGGGUCCGUAGGCGGACUUAUAAGUCAGUGGUGAAAGCCUGUCGCUUAACGAUAGAACUGCCAUUGAUACUGGAAGUCUUGAGUAUAAUUGUUGUAGCUGGAAUAAGUAGUGUAGCGGUGAAAUGCAUAGAUAUUACUUAGAACACCAAUUGCGAAGGCAGGUUACCAAGUUAUAACUGACGCUGAGGGACGAAAGCGUGGGGAGCGAACAGGAUUAGAUACCUGGUAGUC
Molecule: ribosomal RNA, 300 nt
Filed under: uncultured Bacillus sp.
Lineage: Bacteria; Bacillati; Bacillota; Bacilli; Caryophanales; Bacillaceae
Description: bacterial SSU rRNA
Rfam family: Bacterial small subunit ribosomal RNA
Source: RNAcentral